RNAcentral lists this ribosomal RNA (178 nucleotides) under Curvularia sp. M5. RNAcentral describes it as "partial 28S ribosomal RNA". It matches the Rfam family "Eukaryotic large subunit ribosomal RNA", at positions 1 to 178 of the family's 3401-position model. The record is from RNAcentral. Lineage: Eukaryota; Fungi; Ascomycota; Dothideomycetes; Pleosporales; Pleosporaceae.
UGACCUCGGAUCAGGUAGGGAUACCCGCUGAACUUAAGCAUAUCAAUAAGCGGAGGAAAAGAAACCAACAGGGAUUGCCCUAGUAACGGCGAGUGAAGCGGCAACAGCUCAAAUUUGAAAUCUGGCUCUUUCAGAGUCCGAGUUGUAAUUUGCAGAGGGCGCUUUGGCUUUGGCAGCG